Cyprinus carpio (common carp) is the source of this 1687-nucleotide long non-coding RNA. The record is from Ensembl. Lineage: Eukaryota; Metazoa; Chordata; Actinopteri; Cypriniformes; Cyprinidae.
GAGAUCAAGAAAGGAGGAGGCAGAUGAUCAUGGUGUCAACAGGUGAAGAAGAGAUGAUGAUGAUGGGGAUGGUGGUCCGGAGGGAAGGUUUUCCUUGAAAAAACAAAACGAGGUGAGGUCAACCAUGUACCAGAUCAUCCUGAAAGCUACACUGAGGAUGACUUGGAAAACCUGAGGUCUUCCCUGGUUGAAGCCAUGAAGAAGAAAAACAAGGACAUGGAGUUCAUCAGACAGAAGAUGGACAUCACAUUCUCCCUUAGGAGAAUGGAGAUUGUAGAGAUGGAGCCCAUGGUCUCAGAGGUUCUGGAGAGGUGGCCCGGUCUAUUUCUUGAAGAACAGGUAAGGCAUCUUUUUUUUUUCUUGAACUUGGUGCAUUUGUUUACAUUUGUGUUAUGUUUUUUUCAUAAUAGUGUAUGUAGGUUCAUUUGUAUCACGGAUGAGAGUUUGUAGUCUUAAUUAUAAUAAUGAAAUCACACUAUCAGCUUGUUGUAUUUGUAUUGCAUUUGUUUCGUUCAGAUUUGUCAAGAGUUCACUCGUGUGACCACAAAGGACCUGAUGGGAACAUUUAAAGCUGCCCUUGAGAUGUUCACCCCUCGUCUGCUGAAAUUGUAUCGUGCCUGGAAGGGCUCCUUUAGUCGAGAGAUGGAAACCCUUUUGGAAAUGCUUGACAAACAGGCAACUGAUGCAGAUGACAAACAGAUGAAAGGCAUCAAGAUGGGGGUCCUCACAGUACUUGAUGAUGAUGACGACGCAGUCAUUAAUAUUGCCCUUGUGCUGGAGAAAACCAUUGUCCUGAAAGACAUCCCAGAUACCCCGACUGCACUUGCGUAUCUUUUUGGCUUGCUUUAUGCCCUCAACAUGGAGUUCCCAAAAGACAUCAGGUAUACCUUUGAAACUAUCCAGCACAUUUUUAUGGAAAUGUCCACCAAUUGCUCACAGCGUGUCCGGAGCUUCAAGACCAAGCUGUUAAACCAGUGAUUCAUUUUCCAUGGGGAAGAUUUAUUUUAUAAUGUUAUAAUGUAUGUUUGGAUAUUUUGUAAGUCUUCACAUAGACCACCUUAUAGUUUUUAUGUUGUUCCUUUAUUUUGACUAAAAACAAAUCUGUUAUUUGUUGCUGUCAUAUAACUGUCACAAGACUAUUGAUUGUUUCUCAGUAGAAGCAAGCUUUGUUUCAGCAUUGCUGUUAUAGUCUGCAUCUUUGCUGGUGUGGCAAGUGUCCAUGGGGAAGAUUUCUUUUAUCAUGUCUGUUCAUUUAGUAUGUUUGGAUAUAUUGUAAGUCUUCACAUAGACCACCUUAGUUUUUAUGUUGUUCCUUUUGAUUUCCCCAACUUAUUGACAUGUGCCUUAUUUGCUCUGGACACAAGUGCUUUAUUUGAACUAAAAACAAAUCUUUUAUGUGUAUCUGUCAUAUUACUGUCAAGAGACUAUGGUAUUGAUUGUUCAGUAGAAGCAAGAUGUGUUUCACCAUUACUGUUAUAGCCUGUAUGUUUGCAUUUUUGGCUAAUUUCAAAGUUCAGAAAGUUCAGAUAAUUUGGCUUUUUCAGCUGGGGAUUUACACAUUUCUGUUCUUAGGCACUAUACAACUGUUUAUCUGUAAUCUUUGUCAAUACUGCAUUAUUUGUAAGGUCUCAACAAGAGUCGGAAAGUAAAAAAUAAAACUGCCCAUAUUAUAGUACUGAAACCUGAU